GAUGAACGCUGGCGGCGUGCCUAAUACAUGCAAGUCGAGCGAACAGACGAGGAGCUUGCUCCUCUGACGUUAGCGGCGGACGGGUGAGUAACACGUGGAUAACCUACCUAUAAGACUGGGAUAACUUCGGGAAACCGGAGCUAAUACCGGAUAAUAUAUUGAACCGCAUGGUUCAAUAGUGAAAGACGGUUUUGCUGUCACUUAUAGAUGGAUCCGCGCCGCAUUAGCUAGUUGGUAAGGUAACGGCUUACCAAGGCAACGAUGCGUAGCCGACCUGAGAGGGUGAUCGGCCACAUGGGAACUGGGACACGGUCCAGACUCCUAGGGGAGGCAGCAGUGGGGAACCUUCCGCAAUGGGCGAAAGCCUGACGGAGAAACGCCGCGGGGGUGAUGAAGGUCUUCGGUUCGUAAAACUCUGUUAUUAGGGAAGAACAAAUGUGUAAGUAACUAUGCCCGUCUUGACGGUACCUAAUCAGAAAGCCACGGCUAACUACGU
Molecule: ribosomal RNA, 496 nt
Filed under: uncultured bacterium
Lineage: Bacteria
Description: partial 16S ribosomal RNA
Rfam family: Bacterial small subunit ribosomal RNA
Source: RNAcentral